RNAcentral lists this ribosomal RNA (495 nucleotides) under uncultured bacterium. Its description in RNAcentral is "partial 16S ribosomal RNA". It matches the Rfam family "Bacterial small subunit ribosomal RNA", at positions 28 to 507 of the family's 1533-position model. The record is from RNAcentral.
GAUGGACGCUGGCGGCGUGCCUAAUACAUGCAAGUAGAACGCUGAAGGAGGAGCUUGCUCUUCUGGAUGAGUUGCGAACGGGUGAGUAACGCGUAGGUAACCUGCCUGGUAGCGGGGGAUAACUAUUGGAAACGAUAGCUAAUACCGCAUGACAACAGUUAUUGCAUGAUAACUGUUUAAAAGGGGCAACUGCUCCACUACCAGAUGGACCUGCGUUGUAUUAGCUAGUUGGUGAGGUAACGGCUCACCAAGGCGACGAUACAUAGCCGACCUGAGAGGGUGAUCGGCCACACUGGGACUGAGACACGGCCCAGACUCCUACGGGAGGCAGCAGUAGGGAAUCUUCGGCAAUGGACGGAAGUCUGACCGAGCAACGCCGCGUGAGUGAAGAAGGUUUUCGGAUCGUAAAGCUCUGUUGUAAGAGAAGAACGAGUGUGAGAGUGGAAAGUUCACACUGUGACGGUAUCUUACCAGAAAGGGACGGCUAACUACGUG